RNAcentral lists this long non-coding RNA (1871 nucleotides) under Amborella trichopoda. RNAcentral describes it as "long non-coding RNA (ATRI_LNC003729)". The record is from RNAcentral. Lineage: Eukaryota; Viridiplantae; Streptophyta; Magnoliopsida; Amborellales; Amborellaceae.
UCCACUUAUAUUUUAAACAAUGCUCUUGGGUCAACCCAGUAUUAUCAAACAGCUAAUUCUGAAAGAGAAAUGGCAAGAACAACAUAUAACAAAAUUGCCUUUGAUCCAAAUAGAAGUAUAUUAAGAUUGAGGAGUACACCUUACUAUGAUUACACGCUGCUCCUUUUUUAUGAGGAGAAAGAAAUAUACAUGUAAGAUUGUGCAGUACACCUUACUCCUUUUUUAUAAGGGGAAAGAAAUAUAAAACGCGAAUCACUAAACUCAUAGCUAAUAUGACUAUGAUUACACGUUUCUCAGAAUUCCUAUGGGCAAUCGAAUGUUGUUGAUUGUCUAAUAACUUGAUCAAUGACUCAAAGUUAGAUGUUGUUGGCUCUAAUAUUGUGCAGUCUUGUAGAUGAAAGUGCCAUCUUCCCACCUACGCACAAGUAGAACACAAUUUUGUGAAUGACACUAUCACACAAUCUUCAAAAGCAAGAGCCCAAUAACUAUUCACACCAGUUAACAUCCCAUAGAUAAAGCAAGUAAUUUUAACAGCAAUUAUAUUCUUAAAUAAUAGACAUUGUGCACUAGAAUCUGCUUUCAUUUACAAGUAGGCCCGUCACACUAUUUUAAUAAACUAAAGGAUGGUUCAAGUUCAAUUGCAAGUAGGCCAACAAAUAUGAGGAAAGCUUACACAACAUUCCCAGAUCUAACAACAGUCACACCCACCAUAUGGCUAUAGCUGUUACUUGAGUGAUACUUUCUUGCUUGCUAAAUUGGGAUAUGAAUUUUGAUACUUAUUUUGAUAUCUUUAACUACUUCAUCAUAGAUAACCUCAUCGAGGGAGAGAGAGGGAGAGAGAGAGAGAGAGGAACACAAAAUGUAAAGAAGAACCAUGAGUAUAAAAAGUUGAGGAAGAAGUGACGAGAAAAGAAUAAGGAUGAAUAUGGAGAUGAUAGUCUUGACAUAUUCACAAGGAAUUGAACCAGCAAACUGCUACACACAUGUUGACACCCCUAACAGUUAGAACAAAUGACUGGCCCCCAAACAUGAGCGAAUAUGCUAGAGAAAAUAGUAACCCUCACAGAAGCAUGAACUGGCCCUACAUAAGUGCCUCUCAAGUUUCUACAUGAAAAUGACAGGCAUAAACUAUUGUUCCAUGUAGAUGCUACAAACUAUUCACAAUACCAUCUUUUCCCUGGUUCUAUAAUUCAUCCAAAAAUUAAUGAAAGCCCUAAGAAAAUGAUCAUAACCUAGAGUAGUUCCAUAAAAAAUGCCAUGUUCUGCUCAUUAAUGAAAAUUUCUGCAACCACUGCCAAUCCAUCCAUCAUAGUAGGGCUAAGAGCUUCAUGGGCAGACCAAUCCAAUGCUACCCAACUAACAAUACCCAGAAUUCUUACUCGCUAGGGACCAUCUAAUCCAAUGAGGGUAACUAAGCAAUGGCAAUGGAAAAUAAGGCAAAUCACCUACCCCAUUUUCUUCACUAAAACAAAAUCCAUUUAGCAUCUAGAAAUGGCAUAAACCAAUAACAUUGCAGUAUAAACCCACACCCUCAAACCCACUAAACAGUCCAUAUGAACCCCAUAUCCUCUGUUUCAAAGAAGUACAAAAUCAUAGAAGUCCCUAGAAGCAUUAGAACAAGAUAGAGAUUCUCAUAGUAGAAAUUUCUAGAGCUUUAAAUUUCAUAACUAGAAACAUAUAUGGAUUUUCAUGGAAGAAAUUUUUUGCACUAGAACUACAUCUUCCUUUAACACAAUAAUUUGCACACAAAAUGGAAAAAUAAUUGCAUGCUAUCAAGUUUACUGUGGAGAUAGAGAGAGAGAGAGAGAGAGAGAGAGAGAGAGAGAGAGAGAGAGAGAGAGAGAGAGAGAGAGAGAGAGAGAGAGAGAGAG